GAACCCUACAACUUCGUGGGUGCGCUCAUGUCCGAUGUAUUCUUGAUUGUGUUUAUAUAAAACACCUCUCAGCAAAGGGUGAAGAACACUGUGGAAAAUGCCAAAAGUAGAUCCAAGUGAGGUCGACAGUGAAGUCACACCAUCCCUCCCUCCUCUUCUUGAUAAGUUACAUGCAGUAGAGAGAACAUAAACAAGGCCAUGAAGCAUACAAAGAAGAGAUUCUCUUUCAUUUCCCACGCCUUUGCUGAAUUCUUUCACUCACAGGAUCUCAUUAAAUCCUCGGAAA
This 286-nucleotide long non-coding RNA is filed under the name Mus spicilegus (steppe mouse). Its description in RNAcentral is "lncRNA (ENSMSIG00000017147.1)". The record is from RNAcentral. Lineage: Eukaryota; Metazoa; Chordata; Mammalia; Rodentia; Muridae.